GAUGAACGCUGGCGGCGUGCCUAAUACAUGCAAGUCGAGCGAACAGAUGAGGAGCUUGCUCCUCUGACGUUAGCGGCGGACGGGUGGGUAACACGUGGAUAACCUACCUAUAAGACUGGGAUAACUUCGGGAAACCGGAGCUAAUACCGGAUAAUAUAUUGAACCGCAUGGUUCAAUAGUGAAAGACGGUUUUGCUGUCACUUAUAGAUGGAUCCGCGCCGCAUUAGCUAGUUGGUAAGGUAACGGCUUACCAAGGCAACGAUGCGUAGCCGACCUGAGAGGGUGAUCGGCCACACUGGAACUGAGACACGGUCCAGACUCCUACGGGAGGCAGCAGUAGGGAAUCUGCCGCAAUGGGCGAAAGCCUGACGGAGCAACGCCGCGUGAGUGAUGAAGGUCUUCGGAUCGUAAAACGCUGUUAUUAGGGAAGAACAAAUGUGUAAGUAACUAUGCACGUCUUGACGGUACCUAAUCAGAAAGCCACGGCGAACUACGU
RNAcentral lists this ribosomal RNA (496 nucleotides) under uncultured bacterium. RNAcentral's name for it is "partial 16S ribosomal RNA". It matches the Rfam family "Bacterial small subunit ribosomal RNA", at positions 28 to 506 of the family's 1533-position model. The record is from RNAcentral.